Molecule: ribosomal RNA, 253 nt
Filed under: uncultured bacterium
Lineage: Bacteria
Description: partial 16S ribosomal RNA
Rfam family: Bacterial small subunit ribosomal RNA
Source: RNAcentral
UACGAAGGGGGCUAGCGUUGCUCGGAAUCACUGGGCGUAAAGCGCACGUAGGCGGGUCGUUAAGCCAGGGGUGAAAUCCUGGAGCUCAACUCCAGAACUGCCUUUGAUACUGGCGAUCUCGAGUUCGGGAGAGGUGAGUGGAACUGCGAGUGUAGAGGUGAAAUUCGUAGAUAUUCGCAAGAACACCAGUGGCGAAGGCGGCUCACUGGCCCGAUACUGACGCUGAGGUGCGAAAGCGUGGGGAGCAAACAGG